RNAcentral lists this ribosomal RNA (451 nucleotides) under uncultured bacterium. RNAcentral's name for it is "partial 16S ribosomal RNA". It matches the Rfam family "Bacterial small subunit ribosomal RNA", at positions 29 to 523 of the family's 1533-position model. The record is from RNAcentral.
AACGAACGCUGGCGGCAGGCCUAACACAUGCAAGUCGAGCGCUCACCUUCGGGUGGGAGCGGCGCACGGGUGAGUAACACGUGGGAACCUACCUUGAAGUACGGAAUAACUGAGGGAAACUUCAGCUAAUACCGUAUACGCCCUACGGGGGAAAGGUUUAUCGCUUCAAGACUGGCCCGCGUUGGAUUAGCUAGUUGGUGAGGUAAUGGCUCACCAAGGCAACGAUCCAUAGCUGAUUUGAGAGAAUGAUCAGCCACACUGGGACUGAGACACGGCCCAGACUCCUACGGGAGGCAGCAGUGGGGAAUAUUGGACAAUGGGCGCAAGCCUGAUCCAGCCAUGCCGCGUGAGUGAUGAAGGCCUUCGGGUCGUAAAGCUCUUUCAGAUGGGACGAUGACGACGGUACCUACAGAAGAAGCCCCGGCUAACUUCGUGCCAGCAGCCGCCGUAA